Molecule: long non-coding RNA, 12360 nt
Organism: Equus asinus (donkey)
Lineage: Eukaryota; Metazoa; Chordata; Mammalia; Perissodactyla; Equidae
Source: Ensembl
CUGCUGGCAGUCUCGUCAUCAGUGCUGCUGUUAUCUUUAUUGCUCCUGUGUUGGACUAUUUUGGGGGCAGGGCCUCAGUGACAGCUGUGGGCCACAUUUAACCUGCCGGCUGAAAGGUCUUACAAAGUGCCCUUCGCGUUCCAGCUCCUGCGGACGGCUCCAGCCGGGCACGAGCAGCAGCAGGGCUCCCCAUGUCAGCCCAGGUCGGGGUCCUGACCACGUGGCCUUUGAUGGCAGCGAGCAGCAGGGCCUGAAAGCAGCCAAGAACCACCCAUGGGCUGUGCUGGGCAAGACCAGACAUGCCCGGCCCCAGCCCUCACUUCGGGCCCUUGAGGAAAUCCUACUCGCGUGGAGGCGGUGGGCCCGGACCACGGAUGGAUGCAGGCCAGCAGCAGAUCGCCAGGAUGUGCUCCACAGGGAAGGUGUGAGCACAAGACACUCCUCUCCAUGUCAUGUGGAAAUGGUGCCGACAAGCAACACACACGACACCCUGACUCAAAAGGGAUGGGAAUGUUGCCCUAAAUUCCUGAUGUUGUCCUCUUUUUCCUUUUGGAGACUAAGAGGCACGAUUCCUCAGGUUCCUCCCAGGCUUCAAGCCUGGCCCAGAGAGUCUUACUGUAAUUUCUCAGACGUCUUGCUUCAGGAGGGUGUUGGUGACGAAGGAACGUGAUCUGUCUGCGUGAAGGAAAAAAAGAAGCCAGCUUCAACCAUGGACUGCUACCAACAUGAUCAGGGCAAAGUGAAUGGUUCUUCAGGGAUCUGAAAACCACGCACAGUAGGGACACUGAGGUACGACCUUUCCGGCCGGCCGAGUCCUUGCCACUUGGCUCAGCAGAGGUGGGACCACAGGAGGGCAUGUCGAGGAGCUUGCCUGUCUCCCCACCUCUUUACUCUUUCUGGCCUGGGGUGGAUGAGAAAAGAGCUUUCUUCUUCCUGCACCUGCAUCAGAGAAUCAGCCUCCAGCCCCCUCGCCCCAGAGGACACACAGGGCUCAUGGACGCUCUCAGCCCCCAACCUCUCACUGUUCCUCCCCUGCCUUCUGCCUCACACAAGCAACUCCAAGGGGCCGGGGAAGGUUCCGCCACUCCAGGACAUGGGGUCUCCGCAUGUCACCCGUCUGAGGGAGGAUUUCGGGGCAAGGGCCCACCCACUUCUCAGUAGUUUGCAUCCAGGCCAUCCGCUCCAUCCAUGCUCCACCCCUGGGCAGGCUGCCCACAAGUGAUGCCCGGCUCCUGGCGCUCAGCGCUGGGCCCAGGGGUCUGCCCAUCCCACCCACUUCCCAUCACUCAGAGCUGCCCACUAGGUGCUGCUCCCACUCUCUCUCCAGGGGAAGGUCUCCUCAGGGCCUGAUCCCAGGGCGAGGGUGCGGGAGGGCAGGCCUGCGCUUACAGGAAGAGCUCCAGGAUGAGAGGUGACCUCGGCCUGCUCCCCGUUGUCACAGACCAGAACUGAAGGCCAGACCUGCUGGGGUCCAGCCCUUGGGACGUCCUCACUCCCAGGGAGCUCAACCCAGACACAUUGCCGUCCGCCACGCUUCACUGGCCGUCUGCUCAGAGCGUGGCCAUCCUGGGAUCGCAGAAGGAGCACAAAUCGAUCCAGGACCUUCUCUCUGUGUCUGAGGAACAGAUGAGGCUGGUGGGAACCAGACAGACGCCUCUUGCCUACCGCGUACCAGGUCCCCCAACACUUCGGCUUUUUAGCUGAUUUCUCCAGGGACAGGGCGCUAAGAACACAGGGGCACGGAUCAUCCCUCUACUCGCCCUGGUCACGAGGCAGAGCCGGGGCCCAGCGAGGCUGCGUCCUGGAUCGUCUCAGGCGCUGGUUUGCUGUGGGAUGAAAGGCUGGCUCUGAACUCGGGUGGAGAGUGAGGGGCCUGGGAGGGCACAUGCUCCACGGGCCGGGAGGCUGGGGCACCGCCUGCCCCAUGGCAGCUUAGUGGGGGACGGUCGCCUGCACCUUACAGAGAGGGGAUGUAGCAGCAGUACCCUUGCAGUUCUUCCCAUCAAGGGGCCCACUGCCGAGUCCCGGGGAGCAGGUCCCAGUGAAAACAUCCCCGGCUCCCUUGCUAGACCUUUCUGUGGCCUGGAACCUGGGCAAAUAUUUUGGUGCCAUUUUCCUAAAGCUGAGAUGUUUUUGGGGGCAAAAAGGAGAUCCUUUCAAGGGAGUUCCCAUAAGAAUGCUCAGGCUGCUUUAGAGAAACAGGUUUGGGAGCCCGGAGAAGCCACUCCUUCCUGGCCGCAGGACCCUUCAGGCUCCCAGGUGGGUCAGGGGAGGAGAGAAGGAUGCCUUGGACCUCACGCUGGGGAGCCUUCCCUUCUCCUCCUGAGGCACUAGUGUUGGGAGGUGGCCCAGCUUUCUCCGGGAAGAGUCGGAGCCCAGAAAGGAUGCCCCCCCAUGGGGCUGAGAAGAUUGCAAGGUGGGAGCCUCUUCUCUCAGAGCCUUUGAGGUGGGAGGUUAUGGCAGCGAGGGUCAUCACACUCACACACUCAUGCACACACACGUGCUCACACCCAGCAGCACACACUCAUACCCAUGCACCUGUCUCACUCACAUUCACCCUCACACAGAUGCAUGCUCACACAUUUGCACACUCAGGCACAGUCACAGGCUCUUACACACACACUCCCCCUUCAUCCUCCCUAUGGUCUUUGUCAACCUUUGGUGACGACGCUGUCAGAGCUGGAUGGAAAACUGCUGCUUCCACGUGGGAUGCCUCCGUGGAUGGCCCCUUGCCGGCUUGCUCCUGACGACGUGGAGGGCUGGCUCUUUCCAGAACACACUCAGCCAGCCCUGGGCAGGCCCAGGGUCACCAGGGGCAGGGUCCUGCUGCUGGUUCAGAAGGGAGAGCCUGCAGGUCAGCGGCGUGGAUGUGAGGCUGGGAGCUCUGGCGCUUGCGGUAAGCAUGGCCAGGCCUUGGUGGAGUGGAGCACAGAUCAGAGGGUCCACAGCGUGUCCUGCGAGGGAACAGCCCUGGGGGCCCGCCAAGGCCCACACUGGGCACCUCCACCCGGCCUUUCGGAUGGCAGGGCCCUGGGGCUCCAGCAGUGUCUGGCCUGGGCCUGUCCCCAAUGCCCCCUCCCCGGGGCUCGUCUUCCCACAACCUUGGGAGUCGGCUCCCCCACUGCAGAUCCUGCUCUCCCAGGCCUGGUUUCUUCUCGGGGCUCUGGGCUCUGACCUGUUCCCUGGGGAGGCUGUGGAAGCAGGGACGUCUGGGGCCCUUUGUGGCCACUGACUGAGCGGCCCUGCCUGCCUCAGAAAAACCUGGGUCCCUGCUGGGGUCUGUGGCUGACCCCCCAGGAGGGCUCGGGAAGCCCCUGCUGGGAUCAUUGGUCUCACGCUGCACAGCCCUAGGUGGGCCCAUGCCGGGGCAUGGGGUAAAGGGGUGGGCACCCCUGCGGGGCAGGAAGACCGAUUGAAGGUAAGUCUGCAGUCCUCAAACCCAAGGGAAGCCAGGAGGCAGGGGUGGCGGGGUGCCUGUUACUCAGGGCAGGAGUUUCGUCCAUGGGACUUAUUCCCCACAUAGGAUGGAGGCACAGACGCCGGCCCUGAUGACUGUCUAGCUGAAGCCACCUCCGUCCCUCUUGCCGAUGCACCCUGCGCUUCCCGGGGGAGGUAACAGUCAGGCCCAUUUAUCCCGAGUCUGCCUCACACCGUCCCCAUGGCUGGCCCGGCCCUCAUGGUGACCGUGUGCAUGGCACUGCCACCCUGACUUGAUGGACGCUGUUCGAGAGAAUAGCCUUCCCAGCAGUUUGACUGCAUCCUCGCCUGAGGCCUGAACGGUGAAUCCUGCCACCUCCACGGUGCUGGCCGCCUUGCCUAGUGGGAUCCCGGAGUGUCAUCACUUUUGCUUCUUCGACGCCCACAUCCACUCUUCUUGAUGUGUUGGGGGUGGACGGAUGGCCCAGGGGCUGUGACCCUCUUGUUUUCGGAGGAGUCCGACCCCCGGGGCCUGUGGCUAGAAGCUAGGCAGGGCCCACAGGAGGCUGUUCUGGGAUCACGCCCUUUACGGGUGUGCUCAGCUAUUUGCUGGGUUGUAGUCUCCAUCACGUCUUGCAGGUGUGACACUGACAGGAGGAAAGUGCUGGGAGCUCGCUCAAAACCAGCCAGAACUGGUCCUUGUGACCUUGGGCCAAGGGCUUGCCUCCCAAAGUCUCAAUUUCCUGAUCUGCAAAGUGGGGUUACAGACACACUGGAUUCCCAGCCAGGUUGGGGCUCCGCCUCACCCCUUCCCUGUGUCGUGGCGGCUGGGGCGAGCAGGGGGCGCUGCUCCCAGGCUUCCAGGCUGUGGUCCAGGGUCUGGGCCUCGCCGUGUGGGAUGCGUGCAUGGGGCCAGGCGCACACCCCAGACCCUUCUAAAAGGUGAUGUUCUGACCACCCGUUGGGACAAGGUGGGCCUGCAUGGAAAGCUUCCCAAUGUGGUUUUUAUUCUACACCCUCAAGCCUCGUCAUACAGCCAGGACGAUAGCCCUGGUCUGGGGGAGCUUCCAUGCGAUGGGGGAGCAGGAUGGGCUGCGGGCAAUGUCCAGCUUCUCCUUCCUGGCAGGUUCAGGCUGCACCCCCAACCUUAACCCUAACCCUUAACCCAUCCAGUCUCGAGGGUGCGAUGGUGCUUGGCUGCUUCCAUGGGCUCACUGGUGCCAUGUAGCUGUGCUCGUACUGUGUGCUGAAACCUGGGUCACGUGACUAAGGCAGGGGGGACGGCUCUGCCAGGUCAGGGCUGUGAAUGGAAAUUCAGACCCUUCCGUUGGGGUUGGAAACCCAGAACUUGCUUCCCUAUCAACUUAUCUGUGAGCAGAAGUGGCUUUGCAGAGAUUUCUGUAAGAAAUAGCACAAACUGACCCCAAAUGGUGCCUGGAAACCCCAGCCAUUGCCAUCUGCUGAACACAGAAACUGGCCCCUGAGCACAGGAGGGGACCCUGUGGCCUGCACUCUGCGGGCCUGGUGGCUGUGGCUGACCUUUCUCGGCUGUCCAAGGCCGGCGGCAGGACACCAGCUGCCCUGGGCUGCGCGCCCUCCCCCGUCCUCUGAGUUCAUGCAGAUCUGUGAUUCCUGAAACCACAAAGGCCUCUUCCCCUUUGAGGAGGCGCCACACAAUCCUGGAGCAAUCAUGGAAAGGUGUGAUUCCCACCCAGCGCCAUUGCGUUGACUGUUUGACUGAUGUCCUGUGGAGGACAGAGGUGCAGGCAUGGCCACUUCAAAGCCCCAGAGGGGACCCAGAGCCCGGAGGGCAGCACUCGACACCUCCUCCGUUUGCGCCAGCCCUGGUGCUCCUGAAGGUGGGAAGGCCAAGUGUGAAGCAACUCACAGCCGCACAUUCCUCUGCUGCCUGAACCCAGCAGGCCGAGUGACGCUAAGGAAAAACGGAAGACAUCUCCUGUGGGCAGUGGGUGUCCACAGCAUGCAGCCCUCGACUUUCAACUGCCUUGUUCACACUAAGGGGUCCGGGCAGCUCUUUCCCUGCUCCUGUGUUCAGCGAGAGCAGGACGCCGCCAUCCGGCGAAAGCUGUGGGCUCUGACUCACCAGGCUGUGGACGGGGUGGGCGUGGUUGGCCAGCUGGUCCUGGAGUCUCCUCAGCUCAGAACUUUUUGAUUUGUGACAUGGAUGUGGUGCCACUCAGGAGCUCCCAGAACCAGAGACCCAGCCUCUAAACAGGGUCUGCAGGAGAACAGGGGCCUGGCGUGUCCACCGCCUGCGUCGCCCAGAACAGGCUCCUGAGGGAGGGGCCAAGGCUUCAGAGUAUGGGGUUUGUGCACAGGGAUUACAGAGUGGCCAUCGAUUCUGAGACUAGAACCCCAAAAACGGGAAGGAAGGGCGCCCCUGAGAUACCCGGCUGUAAUGUCUGCACCCCACUGCUCACAGGGGGCCCAGCAUCAGUGGGGAACCAGACCUCCUGAACCAGGGUCCCCAGGUAACUCGCACACAAAUGCAGGUUUGAGCAGCCUUGGUCCACCGAGGAACUAGUGCCUUCCUGUCCUCUAGGGUUCCACUGGGCCAAGCUGCACCACGUGCCUUCAACCAGCUCUUGGAGUGAAGCCGAAUAUCAUCAGCAAUGCAGUCCAGGGUUCUUGAGGCCUGGUCCCUGGACCCGCAGCACCAGCAGCUUCUUGGAACUUGUUAGAAAUGCAAGUUCUCAGGCCCCACCUGGUCCUGAGCUCUGGGUGGGGCCCAGCACCUGUGCUUCUGUGCACAGAGCCUGAGGCCCACUCAGCUUCGGUGCAGAGAGCCUAAGCCCACCUGGGGUUCUGUGCACAGAGCCCGAGGCCCACCCAGCUUCGGUGUACAGAGCCUGAGGCCUGCCCAUGCUUCUGUGCACAGAGCCUGGGAUCCACCCAUGCUUGUGUGCACAGUUCUGGGAUCCACCCAUGCUUCUGUGCACAGAGCCAGAGGCCCACCCGUGUUUCUGUGCAAAGUCCUGGGAUCCACCUGUGCUUCUGUGUACAGAGCCUGAGGCCCACCAGUGGUUCCGUGCAGAGACUGGGAUCCACCCAUGCUGCUGUGCACAGAGCCUGGGAUCCCCUCGUGCUUCUGUGCACAGAGCCUGCGAUCCACCCGUGCUGCUGUGCACAGAGCCUGGGAUCCACCCGUGCUUCUGUGUGCAGCGUCUGAGACUCAUUGACACGCUCUUGAGUGUUUCGGUUUAACCCCACUAACAGUGCUCCAGGAAGUGUCACUGCAGGGCUGCCGUUAGCCAUCAGGGAGGCACCUGACCCAGGUCUGUGUCACAUAUCACAGCUGCUGUCCAAGCAAAAGGCAGGGACCCACCUGGUUAGAGGAAGUGGUGGCUCAGGCAGACUCCUGUUGGCGGUCCCCUCCUUCAGGUCCCAGCUCUCUGCUUCAGGACCGCUGGGGGCGGACAAGCCUCAGUCAGAGCCAAGCCCUGACUCUUCCCUGGAGGUUUAGGCAAAUCUCUGCUUUCCAGAACCUCGUUUGGCUCCUCAUUUAUAAAAAAGGUGGAAAAGGGAUCCCUGGUUCCCAAAAGGCCACAGAUGGGCAGCAGUGCCAUCGCCCCAGGAGGGCCAUCAGAGCUGGUGGGUGGCACCCCCGGCCAGAGGUGAAGAGGGGGUGCCUCACCUGCCCUCUUCUGUCCUCUGCUCAGGACAAGCAGAGCUGGGCGAUGAAAGGCCCGCACGAAGGGCACCAGCCACAUGCUGAGGCCCAUGCCCCUCUCUGCCUCCUCCCCAGACCCACAGUCAUCUCUCUCCCUCUCAGAAGAGGGCAGGGGCAUUGCCUCCCCUGGAGCCACAGGGUCUCCCUCAGUAGGGGGUCACAGUGGGCCCCAGCACUUCAGCUCUACCUGAGGGGCGGUGGGCACGGCAGUGGCGGUGGAGCAGGGACCCACCGCCUGCCUGGGAAAGCCCCAAAUGGACUUGUGAUCAACUUCUGCUGGGUCAGGCAAGACUGCGUCUCCUGGGAGAGAGAGAAGAGAAAAACUGGCAGUCCUUGCAUCAGCAGCAGCUGUUGAGAGAUAUAAUUAAUACACACACACACACACACAGGGGCUACGAGACCAUUGCAAUUGUGGUGUUAACAGUUUCCAAAAUAGUGCUCGAUCCACGCAGUUCAGUAAUUACACAUUCUCACCAUGAUGAGGGAGACGGCCGCCGUUCCUGAGUCUCAGGGGACCUGGAACAUUCAGAGGUGUGCAGAAAAGACCCCACUGAGGACCCUGAGGGGCCGUCCUGCUCAGCGCCCUGGCACUGUCUGGAUCCUGCGGCAGUGCGUGCAGACAGUUGUAACAGCUCUGAAUAAGUUACCAGGAAAUGCAGUUAGGGUGUCUCGGUGCCUUUUUAAUUUGUAAAUAGGGAAAAGGGACUUAAGCCUGUGCUUCUGAAUUGCAGUAUUUUCUCUGGGAAUUAAUCCGCAGGGACAAGCACCUCUCCCCUGGAUGUAUGACGAGGCGCAAACACAGAAGGGAUGCUCACGUCCUGCUUCCGAGACUUGAAAAGCACCGCCCGAGGUCACGCUGCCCGGGUCAGCCGUCAGCGCCCCGAUUCCCACCAACUCCGUGUUCGCCGGCUGCUCUGGGGCAGUGGGUCAGUGGUCUGGCUGGAACUGUCUGCAUGCAACCAAACAGAAAAAGCUAAUUACGGCGGAGUCCAACUUUAAGUGUAGCUGUGCAUUCAACCAGUGCGACCCGGCCCGUGUGGUCCUGCCUCCAUUCGGGGCUGUCGUUGGAGAGGUGACAACAUGGGACAGGAGGACAGGUGUCCAGAGGGAGCGACUGAGGGAGUGCAGCUCUACUUUCCCUCUGCAGAGAGGCCAUGUGGGCGUCCCAGGUGGUCUUAGCCUAGAUUCUGGCUUUCAUUAAAAACAAAUGCAGACCCUGCCUGGACACACAAGUGCCGCCCUGGCCACUUCCUUUGUGCCUGAGUGGUGGGCUCUGUCUCCCCUUGCGCACUCCUGUAACACUACGUCAGGGUGCUCUCCCUGGUUGUGGAGGAGGCUGACAGGGGCCCCACAAGGCCACUUUGUGUCCAAGAGUGCCCUGGGGGCAGGCAGGGCCUGGAUUUAAACUCUGCCUACAUCUUCCUUCUCAGCCAAAGUCCCAGCAGGACACUUGGGGCUGGUGGCCCUGCUCCCCGUCCUCAGCAGUGUCCCCACAUGGGGACACUGUGUCCUCCCACAUGUCCAUCUCAGUGGGAGCACCUGGCAGGCUCAGAGCCCUAGACAAUAGAUGCCAUGAGCUCAACAGGCCCGAAUGACGGCCCACCACACACGAGGACCCGUGGGGCUGGGCCACCCCGGGGCCUCACAACCAGACAGCCCACGUGGGUUUCGGGAUCUCAGCGUGAUGGAGGGUGUGAGGCCUUCGGCACAGCUGAGCAGAGAUGACUCAGCAGUGUGGGGGAUGGAGAAAGUCAAGGACAAAGUGCGGAUGAGACGACCCCCCCUCGCUGGCAUCUGAAGGCUCAGGGCUCAGAGGAAGCAGAACACCAGGGAAAGAGCCUUGUUGAAAAAAUGUAGCUGGGAUGGUCAUCUGAGGCUCCUGAACGGUUAGGAAGCAGGCAGAGCUGUGCUUCAUCCUCUCUCCUCCACCCUGGGCCUCGGGACACGUUUCAUGGAGGGGAGACAUGCUGACAGACUGGGCGAUGGGCUGUCACUGCCAUUGGCUGAAUACACUGCGGGUCUGGUCAGUGCCCUCCCGGUCCCUGAGGCCCCAGCUCAGCCAUGACCAACUCAUUCAUUCAACACCCCUUCCGCCUGUUUCUGCGUCACGGGGAAGGGUUCCGUCAGGCUCUGAAAGGGAACCUCGAAGACAAAGAAAGAGCUGGAGGCCGCCGCUUGGUUCAAGAGCCUUGGCCCUGUUGUCUGCGUCAGCCCACGUCUUGUGGGGAAACCACUCCAGCCUCUCAAAUGCACGGCACCACAAGCAAAGGCACGAUCGGUACUAAUGGCACUUUCGUGGUUUGGAAGAGUAACUCACUUCCUGAUGUGGAAGCACAGAAGGUUCUGGAGGAACCGCUCAGGACAGGCCGCCUGUUCAGAAGGCCCCAUGGCUUGUGGUCAUUUUCAAGGAACACCCAGCUGGUGGGCCCCGUAGGGCUUCUUGGCCUGUGGACAGUGAAGCUGCGUGGGCUCCACACCACUUCCGAUGGCGGGACAGGCCCACUCCCUCCCCUCACUGGCUGCUGGUGCCAGGCUCCUAGGGAGGCCCCAAAAGGUCCUCGGUGCCCUCCUCCUCCUCCCGCAGCCAUGCCAAGGCCAGCAGAGAACUGGGCACAGCUGCUUCCAGGACACUGUGCUGUCUUGUUGGUGGUUCCCACCCAGCCAUCUGGGCCCCCUGGCCCCGCGGGGCUGCUCUGCGCCCUGGUGAUGUCUCAAAGCCAACAACGGGGGAUAUAGCAGGGUGGCAGGGGCCUUAUAGCCAAGGGACAAGUGUCACUCCGGGAUGUCCUGUGACCAGCAGGGACGUGGUCCCCACGACUCAGGGGCACAAAGCCAUCGAGGAUUCUGGGUGUCACAUGUGCCCCAAACUUGGUUAGUCUUUCCAUUUCCCCUGGCCAGCCGAGCCCAGCUCUUUACACCUGGGUCCUAACGGGAAACAACAGUGUCCCAGGGGUCAGAAGCUUAGGGUGAGGAGGUUGAUGCAGCUGCGCUGAGCUCCAAGCUCUGUGAGGGGGUGUGUGCUGUGUUCUGCUCAGUGGGGCUGGCGGGUGCCUGGCACUUAGGGAGCAACAGCAUCUGCAGACAAGGAAUGAAUGAUGAAGGAUGAACGGGGAGGAAGGGGUGCAGAUCCUGGCCAACGGCUGUGUGCACGGCAGCACGUGUCUGCUGUGCGGUCGUAGCAAAGUUCUAGAACUCAUCCACUGCUGAUGGCACGUCCACUGCCAACGUUUAUGGCAAUGCCACUAAGAAUAGCCACACACGUGUCACUCACGUCUGUGUGACUGUAGCACAAUUCAUAGAAAUAGAAUUGCUAGGCCAAAUGUUACGAGCAUUUGUAAUGCUGAUGGACAUGCUGACUUUUCUUCCCCUAGAAGGGAUGGAUUUUACGUUGCCACCAAAGCACGAGAGAACUCCCUUCCCUCCGCCGGCUCGGCCUGACCCCAGGGGACGCAGCUCAGGGAGUUGAGGGUGAGGCUGAGAAGUCCUCACCUGCUCACGAGCAGCUCUUUCCUCCUCGGCGAGCUGCCUGCUCACACCCUCGGCCCCUCUUCCUUACUGACUCUUAGUCUCUUUCUAAUUGAUUGAAAUAUCAGGAAACUACUCUUCACUUCUGACAUAAGGUGCAAACACCUUUUCCAGUGUAUUUUUUUUCUUCUUCUCCCCAUAGCCCCCCAGUACAUAGUUGUAUAUUCUAGCUGUGAGUGCCUCUGGUUGUGGCAUGUGGGAUGCCGCCUCAGCAUGGCUUCAUGAGCGGUGCCACAUCCACGCCCAGGAUCCAAACUGGCGAAACCCUGGGCCACCAAAGCAGAUCGCGCGAACUCGAACACUUGGCGGUGAGGCUGGCCCCUGUCAUUAUUUCGAUUGGCUUAGGGUGGUGUUCUUGGUCCAUGCAGAAGUUUUUUAUUCUUAUGUAAUCACAUUUAUUAACAAUAUUAUGGCUUCUGGGUUUUGUGUCAUAUUUAGGCCUGCCUUCCAAACUUCAACAUAUAAAAAUCCCCCAUGGCUUCUGUUUGACACUUCUGCGGCUUUUCUUUUCAUUUGCAUUUAACUCUUUGAUCUGCCUAGACCUGAUUGUGGUGGAGUACACAACCAGCUUUAGGGUUUUCCUGGACGUCUACCCACUGAUCGUUACAGGAAAAUCGUGCAUCCCCAAUGAUUUAAAUGCCUCCAUCCUAUAAUUUGCAUGUAUAUUGGGUCUAUUUCUGGACUUCCUACCUACUCAUUUGCCAGUCGCAUAUAGUUUAAAAUAUAAUUUCAUAAUAUGUUUUACUAUCUGAUAGGACUAAGUUCUCCAUUAUUUGGUUUUUCUUUUAGGUUUGUUCCACCUGUUCUUGUUAAUUUUUCAUACAGAUUUAGCCUGUCUGGUUAAAAAAAGAAGAGUUAACAUUUUAAUUGAGAUUGUACUGUACGUACAGAUGAACUUAGUGAAAACCGGCAUCUUGACAAGUCUUCCCUUCCAGCACAGCCCGCUGGUCCCCUCGUCCCAGCCAGCGCAGCCCCGGAGGCCGUGAAGUCUUCCUGCUGUAGAGUUUCCACAUUUCCUCUAACCACAUUCUCAGAUGUUUUACCUUUUUUUGAUGUUGUCUUUUCUUUGAUCAUAUUUCCUAGUGGUUCUCGUUUCUAGAUAGAAAGGCUGCCAAUUUCCAUAUCCUAAUUUUAUACUUUGCCAAAUCCUUAGAUUUUUGUUCACUUUUUUCAGUUGCUUCUCUAGAGUUUUCCAGAUAUGCAAUAAAAUAUCCAUAAGUGAUUAUCACUUUAUCUCACGCUUUCCCAUUUUGGUACUUCCAGCUUCUCUCUCUUGAUAAAGGCACAGGCCAGUGCCUCCCACACAUGUGAGGACCACAUGGGGUGGGAAUGUCUGGCGUCUUCACAACUUUGGGGGGAAUGUUUCCAGUGUUUCCCCAAGAUGUGGUCUUUCAGGCUGAGACAGAGAUCAUUUAUAACAUUAAAGAAGCAUUCAUCAAUUUCUAUUUUAUCAGGAGAAUUUUAAAAAUAGAAUGGAUGUUGAACUUCAUCCAAUGUUUGUCAGCAUCUACAGAGAUGGCCAUGUUCUUUUUCUCUUUUGUGGUAUUAAAUGGUGAUUUACGUCAAUAGACCUAACAGGGAGCCAUCCCUACUUCAUGGAAAACACUUAGUCUGGGGAUGUAACUCUCUAACACUGCUGGAUUCUGUCUGCUAAUAAUCUAUUUAGGAUUCUCACAUUGCUCUUCACACAUCACAUGAGUUCAUAGCUUGCUUUCUGCACAUCUCCU